GCACUCGACCUCCUCUUCCUCAUCCUCCGCCUCCAACCAGCACCCAACUACUCUCCGCCUCGGCCUCCGUCUCCACUCUCCUCCUUCUCUGCCUCCGUCUCCGUUCUCCUCCUUCUCCUCCUCCGACACACCUCUUCUCUCAUCUCUCUUCUCAAAUCCACCAAUGAUGCAGUCCAUGCCGGAGCUCCGCCUUGUUCCCUCGUCGAGCCCACCAUGGAAGAUAAGACCUAACAUUCAAGACAAGGCUCGCUGUCGAUUCAGGAAUACCUUGUUACAGCAUCCAAGAACCAGAUCUUGUAUGUCUUCUUCAGUUCCCCUAGACUCUGGGACUUCUGCUACUAUGCCAAU
This is a long non-coding RNA of Rosa chinensis, 348 nucleotides long. RefSeq lists it as uncharacterized. The transcript is spliced from 3 exons. NCBI's taxonomy places the organism in Eukaryota, Viridiplantae, Streptophyta, Magnoliopsida, Rosales, Rosaceae. The record is from RefSeq and is a predicted model, not a curated record.